RNAcentral lists this ribosomal RNA (222 nucleotides) under uncultured bacterium. RNAcentral describes it as "partial 16S ribosomal RNA". It matches the Rfam family "Bacterial small subunit ribosomal RNA", at positions 109 to 334 of the family's 1533-position model. The record is from RNAcentral.
AGUAAUGCUUGGGAAUCUAGCUUAUGGAGGGGGAUAACUACGGGAAACUGUAGCUAAUACCGCGUAGAAUCGAGAGAUGAAAGUGUGGGACCUUCGGGCCACAUGCCAUAGGAUGAGCCCAAGUGGGAUUAGGUAGUUGGUGAGGUAAAGGCUCACCAAGCCGACGAUCUCUAGCUGGUCUGAGCGGAUGACCAGCCACACUGGGACUGAGACACGGCCCAG